RNAcentral lists this ribosomal RNA (253 nucleotides) under uncultured bacterium. RNAcentral describes it as "partial 16S ribosomal RNA". It matches the Rfam family "Bacterial small subunit ribosomal RNA", at positions 524 to 776 of the family's 1533-position model. The record is from RNAcentral.
UACGUAGGUGGCAAGCGUUGUCCGGAUUUACUGGGUGUAAAGGGCGUGUAGCCGGGCUGACAAGUCAGAUGUGAAAUCCGGGGGCUCAACCCCCGAACUGCGGUUGAAACUGUUGGUCUUGAGUAUCGGAGAGGCAGGCGGAAUUCCUAGUGUAGCGGUGAAAUGCGUAGAUAUUAGGAGGAACACCAGUGGCGAAGGCGGCCUGCUGGACGACAACUGACGGUGAGGCGCGAAAGCGUGGGGAGCAAACAGG